This 630-nucleotide long non-coding RNA is filed under the name Aquilegia coerulea. Its description in RNAcentral is "long non-coding RNA (ACOE_LNC000309)". The record is from RNAcentral. Lineage: Eukaryota; Viridiplantae; Streptophyta; Magnoliopsida; Ranunculales; Ranunculaceae.
UUCUCAAAAGUGGGUUCCAUAUAACAUAAUUCUUCUUUUCCAGCCAACGGUGGUGGAUCUUUGAGAAGUGAAUUCCAUCUAGGUUGAGUCCCUUUAGUCGGUGGAACCUCUUGUUUGUUUGGGUUAGCAUCUGUAGAUCCAAUGUUUCCUUGUUGCUCUGUAUUAGAGUCAGCCAUUACAUUACUAUGAGUUUCCUCAAUUACAGCUGUGGUUGUAGCUGUAAUGGUGAGUUGAAUUGUGUUUACUUGAGAGGGAAAAGAUGGAUGAGAAAUGGAAGGAUUGAGUGGUGUGAUGGAAGAACCAUGGCCAUCCAUGGCUUUCCCAGCACAAAGGCCGUCGGAGGGGGGUAGAAUUUAGGUCGGCAGUGUGGUAAAUGGGUGGAUCUGGCGAAAAGGAAGAGGAAGAAGUAGUACGGAAGGGUUAGUUUAGUUGAGGAAGAGGGAAGGAAAAAAAUGCCAGAGCAAAAGAGUCGUUACCCUCUGUUCUGCCUAGGAAAUUCAAGUGAACAUAUGUUCUGUUCAAUUCAAGUGUGGAUAGUUGAAAAUAUGAUCGAUCUUCUUCAUUACGAGGAACACUUUAACCCUGUUUUUUGUUCUGUUCAAUUAUGUUACCCGAGUGCUAGUGUUUUUU